Dermochelys coriacea (leatherback sea turtle) is the source of this 2362-nucleotide long non-coding RNA. RefSeq lists it as uncharacterized. The transcript has 4 exons. The record is from RefSeq and is a predicted model, not a curated record. Lineage: Eukaryota; Metazoa; Chordata; Testudines; Dermochelyidae.
UAAAAACACAAGUCCAAAGCAAAAGUGAAACCUGCUCUCCGGCUGUUCACCAUCUGUGCCUACAGCACCCUCCUGCUGAUUACUUACUAUAAUGGACUACUCCUGGAAAUGAACAUGAACCUAUUGCUGUUUUAAUCUAACUGGUCACCAACUGGGAAGAGGUGCCAUCAAGCCUGAUAGGUAAGACUAAAUAUCCAGGUCCAAAAUUCCAUAGCAAGAAGCUGCUGGGUCUGUCCCCAACUCAGUGGAAAUGUCUGAGCAAGGUCACAAGAUUUCCAUGCCAAGCUAGACCUUCAUUCUACACAAUGCCCUGGGUUUAAGCAGCAGAAGAGAAAUUCUGCAGCAGCUUUAGGUACAUUAAAAACUGGAGGGUCUGAAUGAAAUAGGAUUAUGAAUAAUGCAGCCUAUUUCUUGUGCUAUUUAUUUUGACAUUAUAUUCAGUUUAUUUUACUGUGCCUCUACAUUGCCAAGAUUCAAAUGUGAGCAGUGUCUCGAUUUAGGAUUCCCUUCUCCCUCCCACCCUCUUUGAUGGGAUAGUUUUGUAAUCUGGAUUUUGGAUGCAAUACCUAGAAGACUGGUUCAGAUCUGGAUCCAAACACUUCCCAAAUUCAGUGAUGUUUGCAUUUGGAAUCUGGGUUUGGGGCUCCUUGUCUUUGGCCAGCACAGUGUUUGUGCCAGUCUUCUCCCAUCUGUUAAUGCCUGCUCUCCCUAUUCUUUUAUUGGUCUUCUAGGACUGCCAUUUAUAUUAAGACCAAAUCGGAGAUAGUGUAAUCCAGCCUCACUGCACUGACGGCCUUGGAACAGCACCUGCUGAUUCCAGGUCUGAAUUUGGCUCCAUAAAUUCUUAAUGGCCUCACUCAUAAUCGUUUAUCCCAGUUACAAGGUAGCUAUUCCUUUUUAAACACCAUUUUCUUGUUAAUCCCUUUGAAUAAAUGGUUUCCCUUGAUUAAUUUUGUGCCAAAUCCCAGAUUCACAUAAACAGUCAUUUGUUGCUCCCUCUUCUCAUGCACAAGACAGCUGUGCUCUAUUGCAAUUGAAUCAGUUUUGAAUCUGACUUUUCAGGCUUCCGAGAAACAUGUGCCUUGAUAAUCAUUCCAAGUGAAAUGUCAUUGGGAAUUUCUUAUGUAGAAAUCAUGCAUGGAUAAUUGCUAUAUGGAAAUUGCUGCUUUAGCCAGGAAUAAGGACAUGCCCGAAUGAGGCCAUCUGACCAUCUGCUGCACUAUUUCAAUGCCCUGUCUUCUAGCCCCAGGAGUCAGAGACAUGGCACCGCUAGAGCCUACAGGCAGCUCAGCUGUACCAUUACCAUAUGCAGACAGCUAUUGACCCAAACUGAGGCCCAGCAUCCAUAUUUCUGCUCAUUCCCCCACUAUUAUGCUGAGGGAUCUUUCAUUGCUUCAUCUUUGUUGGCAUCUAACCUGGCAAAAAGUGCCUCUCCACCUUGAAUUUAUUGGAUUCAUUCAGAGCAAAAGAGGAGAGAGAGCUCAUCUGAAAUAUAUCGGUAAACAAGUGCUUGUCACUGCUGGGGUGAUUACUGUAAUAUUUAUAUUCCAAAGACUGCAACUAAGCAAAAACCUGGUCAUUAGUUCCAAGAGAGAAAGCAUGAUGAUUCUGAGGACCAAAUUCAGCUCAUGCAUAAGCAAGCACAAUUCCUAUGGAAUCCUAGAGAUAUGGUGCCCACCUACACCAGAGCUGAACUGAACCUGGAGACUAAGUCACAAAGGGUCUAUUUCUUCAUUCAUCACCUCUAAGAACUAGAACGCUGGUUAACACAGAGCAUUGCUAUCAAUAAAGUUGACCUGAUAAACGUGUAAGGAGAAAUUUAUUGGGAAAUGUCAUGCAAGCAGUUCCGAGCAAGGACAUCACUGAUGCCCAAAGCUGUUUGCAGGUGAGUUAAAAGAAUGACACCUUUUAAAUAAUUUGACAGUAAGCAACUUGGCCUAUGGACAAAUGAAAAUGAUCUAGUCAUGAACAUGUAGAACUUCUUUGCUGUCUCAUAUAGAGAUAUCAAAAUGUAUCCGACAUACACCAUCUGUUUUACUCCACACUUUUUGUCCUCAUUCACAGUGAUUCAGAAAAGGUACAAUGGAUAACUACCAACGUGUGGAAGCUUUUUAUUUUUGUAGCUCAUUCUGAACCUGUGACAGCACAAGAUAUAUUUUUGCUAAGAAGAAGCCUGAAAUAUACCAUUCUGUAGAAUAAUACUCCGUAUCUCAAUGGGAAGACAUGUGAACAGAUGCUUAACAACAAAUGUGGUGAAAUAUAGUGCACAUUUCAGUUAUUUAAAUGCAUGAAAACUAAAGAUCUAAGGAAAAGUAUAAAAUUCAAGGUGAAUAUACAUUAGUUUUGUGCAGAUACUACAAAG